Osmia lignaria (orchard mason bee) is the source of this 2001-nucleotide non-coding RNA. The record is from RefSeq and is a predicted model, not a curated record. Lineage: Eukaryota; Metazoa; Arthropoda; Insecta; Hymenoptera; Megachilidae.
CUUAAUAAAUUAAAAACGCGUGCUAGACAGGAGGAUUCAUUAAUAUCGCUCAUUUUUUAUGGAAGACAUACAUUUGGGGUGUUGGAGUAUUAGAGAUAUUUUGGAUGUAUAUUUCAACCUUUCCACGAGGAUGGGAGUGUCAUCUUAGGUCAUUUUGACCCAGGAGAUGAUGUGCAUACAAUUAUAAUACAUGUCGUUAUAGUAGAGUGUUAGGGUGUCUGAGGUAUUCAGGAUGUAUAUUCCAAUUCUUGUAGAACGAGUGCAAGGUCAUUUUGACCCGGUGGAUAUAUAUUUUUUUUUGUAUAUUCCUUUUUAUUAAAUUUCAUUGUAAUCCUAGGGUACACGAAAUGUAUAUUUGGAGAAUAUAUUCAGUGUCAGGUCUUUGAUGGAUAAGGUACUCAAUUUUAGGUCUGUAAUAGAUAAUAGAUUUCAAACCUAUCACAGAGAAGGUAUUUAGGUCUUUGGUCUAUCCUAGAUGUCCUAUUCAAUUGUAGGUCUUCAUAACAAACAAGGCAUUCAAUCUGAGAUUUAUCGUAGAUAUACUAGGUAUUCAAUUUGAAAUUUAUCGUAAUAGGUGAGGAAUGAAUUUUGGAUUUAGAUUAUAGAUAUAUUCACGAUUGAACGAUAGGUAACACGUUAAAUUUUGUAUAGAAAAUUUUUACAAACAACAUCUCGUUUCUGUUUAUAUUUUGUUCUCUGUUACUUUCAUCCCGACGUCAUAGAAUUGCACGAACAGGAUAGCAUUUCGCUUCGUUACGUUUCCUAUCAAAGUCAAAUGCGCUGGAUAAAUGUGAAAACGCGUCAAUCGAAUGUUUUUUUAUUUUCCCUUUUUCAAAAGAGACAACGCAUAAAACGUUACAACGUCAUUUUAUACGUAGAUUGAUCUCUUCAAUCGAUUGUUUGCGAAUCAGCAGAAUUCUUUUAUAUUUCAUUCUAACAUUUACAAUGUUAUUUAAAUAUUUUUAAUUUGAAAUUUAAUACAGGUGGCAGGAAGGUUGAUAAAAAAUAAAAAUGAGAAGCAAUUAUAAAAAUACAAAAGAGUCAAAUAUCAAAAACUAUAAUUUAAUAAAAAAAGAAAUGAUAGAAGUAAUAACAGGAACACAAAUUCGAAAUCGAAAAUCAAAAAAAUCGAAGCUUCAAAAAAAAUUGAAUUGCCUUUCUAGAAUUCAACUCAAUAUUUAAAAUAUUGGUUUAAAAAUAGAAAAGAAAAUUAGUAUUCAAGUACAUUCUAAUUUUAUAAUAAUAAAGUGUUAAUAUCAAACUUACUGAAGCACGGUGUUAAUAUAGAAACAAACUUUUCCAUUAUAAAACUGAUAACAACUCGUCCACCUUGUUUCUGGUAAUUUCACAAAAAAAGAAGUGAGCAAACGUAAACGUUUGUCGAUUUGCGGCUGUGCUAUCAACAAAACUUUUACGACAGUUUCGCUGAACACGCGGAUGAACUUUAAUCUCGUUUCAGUUUCCACAACAUUGAAAAAAUUUCUAGAUCCGGAGGGAAAAAAAAAAGAAUAAACUGGGAUGAUUGCAUGAAAUAAGUACGCUAGGAAUUUAUGUAUUCUUUAGAAAAUUCGAGUCGUAAACUUUCUUACGGCGUAUCAUUUCAAACGAAUAUUUUACCGUUGGUGAAUUUUUUCACUGCAGCGAAGCAUCCCUAGAUUCAGUAAGGAAGACGAAGAAUUGCAGACCGAACGGAAUUCGGGCGACAGGAUUAGGAUUAUCAUAACAAUUACAAACGACGUGCUAGAUUGUGUAAUAAUAGAUUCGUGUCGACACCUUUUUCUUCAAGGUAGAACAAUUGCAAUAGAAUGAAACACGACACCGAUGAGGAUCCCGAAUACUUUUCUACUUGCACACGUCAUCGCGGAUUCCAAUUGUGACAUUUUUCACGCCUGGUUUAUGCCGUUAUAAUGUUUGACUAUGACAAAUGAAACUUUUCUCUUCAACAAGAGAAUGUUACGUUAGGUUUCUACACGAAAUAUUCUUUCGUAGGUAAUCAAAAAA